Molecule: transfer RNA, 71 nt
Filed under: Loxodonta africana (African savanna elephant)
Lineage: Eukaryota; Metazoa; Chordata; Mammalia; Proboscidea; Elephantidae
Rfam family: tRNA
About the family: Transfer RNA (tRNA) molecules are approximately 80 nucleotides in length. Their secondary structure includes four short double-helical elements and three loops (D, anti-codon, and T loops). Further hydrogen bonds mediate the characteristic L-shaped molecular structure. tRNAs have two regions of fundamental functional importance: the anti-codon, which is responsible for specific mRNA codon recognition, and the 3' end, to which the tRNAs corresponding amino acid is attached (by aminoacyl-tRNA synthetases). tRNAs cope with the degeneracy of the genetic code in two manners: having more than one tRNA (with a specific anti-codon) for a particular amino acid; and 'wobble' base-pairing, i.e. permitting non-standard base-pairing at the 3rd anti-codon position.
Source: Rfam by way of RNAcentral
ACAUUGGUAGUUCAGUGGUAGAAUUCUCGCCUUCAUUGUGGGAGUCCCAGGUUCUAUUACUGGCCAGUGCA